This 444-nucleotide long non-coding RNA is filed under the name Helianthus annuus (common sunflower). RNAcentral's name for it is "sRNA HanXRQr2_Chr11g0482181". Lineage: Eukaryota; Viridiplantae; Streptophyta; Magnoliopsida; Asterales; Asteraceae. The record is from RNAcentral.
UCUUCGUCAUAGAUUAUUACAAAAGAAUGACUAUUAUUUGUAUUCAAUAAAUUGGAAGAUAAGAGAGUAAUGUUACACCCUACAACAUACAAGUACACUAUUCCAAUAUCAAGAUCUACAAAAUGUUAAUUGUGGGUAUGAAUGAGUCACUUGCCUUGUAUUCUCUCAUUACACUUUUUUCCUGCAACUAAUGGGACAAGGACCUGAAUGUCACCUUCAACCUAUACAAAAAUGCUGGUCGUCUUGUGGAUGAUUUUGACAACUUGGGAUUCUCGACAUUAAUUUUUAUAUCGUUUUUAAAUUCUUGUGCACCCUCUAACGAUCCCCGUCGAGUUCUUUUGAUUGCAAGUACAUGAUCAUUGUGAAGAAUUCCUUUGAACUCACCUUGUCAUAACCUAGAACACUGGAUUGUAGCAGCUUCAUCUUUUCACUUAUUUUCUAUAC